CUGAACCUUUCCCUCUUCAGAAUUUUCAGAUCAAUUCUGUCUGUGCAGGAAUAGUUGUUGCUUUUUUUUUCAAGCCGGGGUUCUUUGUGUAUAAACACUUGUGAAGGACCACUCAAUCUCUUUAAGAAAGAUCUGCUCCUUCCUUACCUGUUGCCCAGCAACCAGGAUCUAAAUCCAACUUCUCCAUCCCCUGCAAACUUCUGUGACUGCCCUGCAGGGAAACAGCCUUUUAUGAGGGCAAUUUUACCAUUUCUCAUCCUCAGCUUCAAGACCUGUCAAGUGUACAGGAUUUGACUAAGAUCUUCUUCCAGGAAACUAAAAAGCAUUGAAGCCUCUUACCAUUUCCAUGUACUGUACAUCUGCAGAUCCAAGCAGCAAUGAAGCUAUAUAAAUCUACCUUCUGCUUAGCCACCUGUAGAAAAUUGCACCUAAAGUUAUGCAGAAAGUUUGCACUGAACCUUGAAGACAUGUACUCUGACAUCCAGCUGGAAAUUCAAACUGUUCCAAAAAAGGAGUGCUGCUGUUUUUCUCCUUUGGAGGCAUCAUUUGGAACGAGAUAACAUUUUGUUUUAUUGUCAAUAAUAUAUGAAGGAAAGAACUGCACACCUUCAUCAGAGUCUGAAGGAGUUUAAGUUAGGAUUUGAAAACUGCCAAAAAUGACAGCAAGACAAUGAAAAAACAGUGAUUUUCUUUAAAAAAUAGGAGAAAUAAGUGGGCUUUCUGAGAAACAGAAAUGACAUUGCGAAGUAGAUUUUAUUUCAUUUCUGAACUUAUCGCAAACUGAUGAGAUUUGUUUUCUUCCUAC
Molecule: long non-coding RNA, 805 nt
Filed under: Zonotrichia albicollis (white-throated sparrow)
Lineage: Eukaryota; Metazoa; Chordata; Aves; Passeriformes; Passerellidae
Description: lncRNA (ENSZALG00000008440.1)
Source: RNAcentral